GAUGAACGCUAGUGGCGUGCCUAACACAUGCAAGUCGAGCGAUUCUCUUCGGAGAAGAGCGGCGGACGGGUGAGUAAUGCGUGGGUAACCUGCCCUGUACACACGGAUAACAUACCGAAAGGUAUGCUAAUACGAGAUAACAUGCUUUUAUCGCAUGGUAGAAGUAUCAAAGCUUUUGCGGUACAGGAUGGACCCGCGUCUGAUUAGCUAGUUGGUGAGGUAACGGCUCACCAAGGCGACGAUCAGUAGCCGACCUGAGAGGGUGAUCGGCCACAUUGGAACUGAGACACGGUCCAAACUCCUACGGGAGGCAGCAGUGGGGAAUAUUGCACAAUGGGCGAAAGCCUGAUGCAGCAACGCCGCGUGAGCGAUGAAGGCCUUCGGGUCGUAAAGCUCUGUCCUCAAGGAAGAUAAUGACGGUACUUGAGGAGGAAGCCCCGGCUAACUACGUG
RNAcentral lists this ribosomal RNA (452 nucleotides) under uncultured bacterium. RNAcentral's name for it is "partial 16S ribosomal RNA". It matches the Rfam family "Bacterial small subunit ribosomal RNA", at positions 28 to 507 of the family's 1533-position model. The record is from RNAcentral.